Molecule: ribosomal RNA, 1346 nt
Filed under: uncultured bacterium
Lineage: Bacteria
Description: bacterial SSU rRNA
Rfam family: Bacterial small subunit ribosomal RNA
Source: RNAcentral
GACGAACUCUGGCGGCGUGCUUAACACAUGCAAGUCGAACGGAAAGGCCCUGCUUUUGUGGGGUGCUCGAGUGGCGAACGGGUGAGUAACACGUGAGUAACCUGCCCUUGACUUUGGGAUAACUUCAGGAAACUGGGGCUAAUACCGGAUAGGAGCUCCUGCUGCAUGGUGGGGGUUGGAAAGUUUCGGCGGUUGGGGAUGGACUCGCGGCUUAUCAGCUUGUUGGUGGGGUAGUGGCUUACCAAGGCUUUGACGGGUAGCCGGCCUGAGAGGGUGACCGGCCACAUUGGGACUGAGAUACGGCCCAGACUCCUACGGGAGGCAGCAGUGGGGAAUAUUGCAUAAUGGGCGGAAGCCUGAUGCAGCGACGCCGCGUGCGGGAUGACGGCCUUCGGGUUGUAAACCGCUUUCGCCUGUGACGAAGCGUGAGUGACGGUAAUGGGUAAAGAAGCACCGGCUAACUACGUGCCAGCAGCCGCGGUGAUACGUAGGGUGCGAGCGUUGUCCGGAUUUAUUGGGCGUAAAGGGCUCGUAGGUGGUUGAUCGCGUCGGAAGUGUAAUCUUGGGGCUUAACCCUGAGCGUGCUUUCGAUACGGGUUGACUUGAGGAAGGUAGGGGAGAAUGGAAUUCCUGGUGGAGCGGUGGAAUGCGCAGAUAUCAGGAGGAACACCAGUGGCGAAGGCGGUUCUCUGGGCCUUUCCUGACGCUGAGGAGCGAAAGCGUGGGGAGCGAACAGGCUUAGAUACCCUGGUAGUCCACGCUGUAAACGGUGGGUACUAGGUGUGGGGUCCAUUCCACGGGUUCCGUGCCGUAGCUAACGCUUUAAGUACCCCGCCUGGGGAGUACGGCCGCAAGGCUAAAACUCAAAGGAAUUGACGGGGCCCCGCACAAGCGGCGGAGCAUGCGGAUUAAUUCGAUGCAACGCGUAGAACCUUACCUGGGUUUGACAUGGAUCGGGAGUGCUCAGAGAUGGGUGUGCCUCUUUUGGGGUCGGUUCACAGGUGGUGCAUGCCUGUCGUCAGCUCGUGUCGUGAGAUGUUGGGUUAAGUCCCGCAACGAGCGCAACCCUUGUUCACUGUUGCCAGCACGUUAUGGUGGGGACUCAGUGGAGACCGCCGGGGUCAACUCGGAGGAAGGUGGGGAUGACGUCAAGUCCUCAUGCCCCUUAUGUCCAGGGCUUCACGCAUGCUACAAUGGCUGGUACAGAGAGUGGCGAGCCUGUGAGGGUGAGCGAAUCUCGGAAAGCCGGUCUCAGUUCGGAUUGGGGUCUGCAACUCGACCUCAUGAAGUCGGAGUCGCUAGUAAUCGCAGAUCAGCAACGCUGCGGUGAAUACGUUCCCGGGGCU